GACGAACGCUGGCGGCGUGCCUAAUACUUGCAAGUCGAACGCUUCUUUCCUCCCGAGUGCUUGCGCUCGAUUGGAAAGAGGAGUAGCGGACGGUUGAGUAACACGUGGGUAACCUACCCAUCAGAGGGGGAUGACACAUGGCGACAGGUGCUCAUACCGCCUAACAGUUUAUGCCGCAUGGCAUGAGAGUGAAAGGCGAUUUCGGGUGUCGCUGAUGGAUGGAGGCGCGGUGGAUUAGCUAGUUGGUGAGGUAACGGCUCACCAAGGCGACGAUGGAUAGCCGACGUGAGAGCGUGAAGGGCGACAGUGAGACUGAGCGGCGGCACAGACUCCUACGGGAGGCAGCAGUAGCGAAUGUUCGGCGAAGGAGGGAAGUCUGACCGAGCGGCGCCGCGUGAGUGCAGAAGGUUCUCGGAUCGUAAGACUCUGUUGUUAGAGAAGAACGAGGACGUUAGGAACGGAACGUCCCCUUACGGUAUCUAACGAGAAAGCAACGGCUAACUACGUG
This 508-nucleotide ribosomal RNA is filed under the name uncultured bacterium. RNAcentral describes it as "partial 16S ribosomal RNA". It matches the Rfam family "Bacterial small subunit ribosomal RNA", at positions 28 to 507 of the family's 1533-position model. The record is from RNAcentral.